AGUGAACGCUGGCGGUAGGCCUAACACAUGCAAGUCGAACGGCAGCACAGUAAGAGCUUGCUCUUACGGGUGGCGAGUGGCGGACGGGUGAGGAAUACAUCGGACUCUACUUUUUCGUGGGGGAUAACGUAGGGAAACUUACGCUAAUACCGCAUACGACCUACUGGUGAAAGCAUGGGAUCUUCGGACCUUGCGCGAUUGAAUGAGCCGAUGUCGGAUUAGCUAGUUGGCGGGGUAAAGGCCCACCAAGGCGACGAUCCGUAGCUGGUCUGAGAGGAUGAUCAGCCACACUGGAACUGAGACACGGUCCAGACUCCUACGGGAGGCAGCAGUGGGGAAUAUUGGACAAUGGGCGCAAGCCUGAUCCAGACAUACCGCGUGGGUGAAGAAGGCCUUCGGGUUGUAAAGCCCUUUUGUUGGGAAAGAAAAGCAGCAGGUUAAUACCCCGCUGUUCUGACGGUACCCAAAGAAUAAGCACCGGCUAACUUCGUG
RNAcentral lists this ribosomal RNA (492 nucleotides) under uncultured bacterium. RNAcentral describes it as "partial 16S ribosomal RNA". It matches the Rfam family "Bacterial small subunit ribosomal RNA", at positions 29 to 507 of the family's 1533-position model. The record is from RNAcentral.